GACGAACGCUGGCGGCGUGCUUAACACAUGCAAGUCGAGCGGUAAGGCCCUUUCGGGGGUACACGAGCGGCGAACGGGUGAGUAACACGUGGGUGACCUGCCCUCAGCUCUGGGAUAAGCCUGGGAAACCGGGUCUAAUACUGGAUAUGACUCCAUGACGCAUGUUGUGGGGUGGAAAGCCUUGUGCGGCUGAGGAUGGGCCCGCGGCCUAUCAGCUUGUUGGUGGGGUGANGGCCUACCAAGGCGACGACGGGUAGCCGGCCUGAGAGGCGACCGGCCACACUGGGACUGAGACACGGCCCAGACUCCUACGGGAGGCAGCAGUGGGGAAUCUUGCGCAAUGGGCGAAAGCCUGACGCAGCGACGCCGCGUGAGGGAUGAC
Molecule: ribosomal RNA, 382 nt
Filed under: uncultured bacterium
Lineage: Bacteria
Description: bacterial SSU rRNA
Rfam family: Bacterial small subunit ribosomal RNA
Source: RNAcentral